AUCAAUUCUCAGCCUUUUGGCUAAGAGCAAGUGUAGUAUCUGUUCUUACUAGUUUAAUAUCUGAUACAUCCUAGAUGAGAUGACUUUAUAUUAAAAGGAUUUUUGGGGUGAUACUCCCC
Acanthisitta chloris (rifleman) is the source of this 119-nucleotide non-coding RNA. Lineage: Eukaryota; Metazoa; Chordata; Aves; Passeriformes; Acanthisittidae. The record is from Rfam.